This is a long non-coding RNA of Drosophila elegans, 475 nucleotides long. RefSeq lists it as uncharacterized. NCBI's taxonomy places the organism in Eukaryota, Metazoa, Arthropoda, Insecta, Diptera, Drosophilidae. The transcript is spliced from 3 exons. The record is from RefSeq and is a predicted model, not a curated record.
UGUCAAUUUUUAAGCCUACAAAAAUCGAUAACAUCGAUUAUUUUACAAUAAUCGACAAUCAACUCUCGACUAUCAUUGGCUUUGCAUUUUUCAUCCCUACUCUUUUCUGUACUUUUCGGCUGAUCGCCACGCUCGUUCCGGUAUUGCGCGUUUUUUUGUGUUUAGUUCCUAGAAAAUUCUACAAGAAGAGAUGGAUGAAAAAAGUUUGGAGUUUUUGGAAAAUGUGGAUCCCGAGAACGCGGAAUUUUUGAUUGUUCUUUUUAAAGGCAACGUACUACGUAGCAAGGCAGCCGAAAACUAAUUUGGAAGGCGCGAAGCAGCCAGGGGUAAAUUAAAUCGAAAGAGUCCGAACAGACAACAACUGUUCAUGACGAUGGAGUAAAGAGAGAUGAACAGGGUGAAGUGAAGGAAGACCUGGAGUGGUUAAGACGAUGGCUCGAACCCGAGGUUGCGGCUACUGAGCGGUGGAGUAGGA